Peromyscus eremicus (cactus mouse) is the source of this 409-nucleotide long non-coding RNA. RefSeq lists it as uncharacterized. The record is from RefSeq and is a predicted model, not a curated record. Lineage: Eukaryota; Metazoa; Chordata; Mammalia; Rodentia; Cricetidae. The transcript has 3 exons.
CUUGGCUUUGAUCUUCUCAGUUGAAACAGAGUGCUGGGCACGACCAUAACCCUAGAGAGAAGAUGACUACUAGUCUGCCUGGCCUUUUGCUUUCCACGCACGAUUUCCUUGCACUCCUUCGUCGGAUCCCCGGAGGGCGGUCCUAAGUGGACUCGAAUCAGCACGUACUUGAAGACGCCGUCCGAGUCGAUGUCCACAUCAGGAAUCUGAGCGAGUUCUUUGCAGCUUUGAGAUCUUGAGUACCAGUUAAAGGAGCUGCAAUGUCGGGAAAUCAGUGAUGCUGCAAAUCAAGCUGCUGCAAGUGGGGCAGCAAAAGAGGAUGCAGUGACGCACCCCGGCUCCACUCCUGGGUCCUAGGGCUUCAGUCCCCUAGCAUAAACCAUUAAAUCCGGUCUUCUCUUCCCCCACA